Dromaius novaehollandiae (emu) is the source of this 6336-nucleotide long non-coding RNA. RefSeq lists it as uncharacterized. The record is from RefSeq and is a predicted model, not a curated record. NCBI's taxonomy places the organism in Eukaryota, Metazoa, Chordata, Aves, Casuariiformes, Dromaiidae. The transcript is spliced from 4 exons.
CCGAGGCUUUAUUUGAAAGCGCCGGCGCGCUGCGAUUGGCCGCCGUCCACGGCCGGGGGGGCGCCGGGGGCCGCCGGCGGCAGGGCGCGGAGCCCGCGGCCGCCUUCCGCGCCCCCCCGGGGCCUCGGGCGGCUGCUUUCGUCGCAGGAGCCAUCAUCAUGGGAGGCGUUAGGGGCAGGGGGCGGGCGGAGCGGGGAGCGCGGCCGGCCAAACGGAAAAAAGCAGAAAAAAAAGCACGCAGCGAGGGAGCGGGGGAAAAAAAAAGGGGGGCAGAAAAGCGGCGGCGGGGAGCGCCUCCCCCGCGGACGGGGCGAUGCGCCCGCGCGGACCUGCCGAGGCGGCGCUCCCCGCCGCCGCACGUCGGGGGACUUCCCGCGCCCGCUGCGCGCCGCGCUGCCCCCGGCGCCGCUCCGCGGGCGCGGCCAUGGGCCGGCGCAUAACCUGCACCGUGCGGUACCGGCGCCCCGGCAGCCGCCGCCGCGCGCGGGCGCUGGGCUGGGCCCUGCUGCGAGGGCUGCGCCGGGCGCUGCCGCGGCCGCGGCCGCCCCGCCUGGCGCUGGUGCUGGUGCUGCGGAGGACGCGCGGCCCCGGAGCGGGACCCGCCGGCGGCAGUUUGGGGGAAAAGAAAAAGGAAAGAAAGAAAAUGAAAAAGAGGCGUGGACGGUUUGGGCUGGCCUCUGAAACAAAGCUCAUUCCUGCAGAUGUCCUCUGCUCACGGCCGUUAAGCACAGAGCCAGACCAGAGAGGGAUUUAGGAGUCAAAUCAAAUUACUAAUAACACCACAAGGUGGAGAAUUUGUGCCAGAGACAACGCCGAUCAAGCUCAAGGACAGAGCUGCUUCCACAGAUCUCCUCACACUCACUGUAAAGGGAAAGCAGCUCCUACAACUCCCUGUCUCCUACAGAGGCUUACUAGUUGAUCUUCAUGAUGAAAUGAAAGAAUGAUUUUAAAUGAUUGGUUGUGGUAUGAAAACAAACAAAAUAUAUUUCAGAACCUUCCUACGGAGUAGAUAAAAGUUCUUACAAAAGCGGCUUGCUAUAAAGCCCUAAAUCACCUUUUAACAGAUCAAUGAAAUGCAGGUUUUAAGGUCAAAAUAAAAGAUUUCCCUAGAUCAAAUACCUUCCACCUUUGCUAGAGGAACGGUGCUGUAGAAAAGCAAACAAUGGGGUGGGCUUCAUGUGUUCUGUAAGAUAUAAUUCACUUACUACAGGCAUGAUCCUUGGUCCUCUAUGUCACUAAGCCUAGAGAUGGAAGGUUGUGACCAAACUUCUUGUUUUCCCCCUUUUUGAGGUAUAAGUAGAAACCUCUUUUUUUUAGCUCAUUUUGUUCCUUUGGGCAACACUUUAUACACCACAGAUGUCAAGAUAUCCUACAGAUUUCCACUGUCAAUUUCUUUUCUGAGGCUGCAUAAGAGUGUACCAAAUAUUAUGAUUUCUGAAUGUACUUGAUUUGCAUACUGCUUCUUUUGUGGUUAUUUUCAGUAAUCAUUCAUGCAAUUCUGUUUGCUGGCAGCAAUAUGCACUGUUCAGCAAAUGUCAAGUAAGCAUUGCUAAAUCAUUUGCACAGGAAACCUGAUUCUGUGAGGAAUAUUAAUCUAAGACAGGACAUUUGGAAGUACUGAGAGACCUAUGCAUCCAACGAGAAGAGACUGGAACUACACCGGUCCAACAAACUGGGUCACAAAAAUUAUUUGCAGAAGCUAUCUUCUCAUUUAAUGUCAGUCAACAAUAUCUUCCAUAAAAUCUCAGUCUGUGUACCUAUGGACAAAAUAGAUGAUGUUAAUCAAAAAAGUAGUGUCUUCUGAAUUUCUGAGAUUUAUUCCAAGUAAAUUUAAAAGAUUCUAGGUUUUCUAGUAUUAUCACUGAGACUGUAAAGUAUUUAUCUUACACUGCCCUUCUACUCACAGAAUCAUUCAUACCUGCCUAAAGUUUGUGAAAGUCAGAUAUGUAUUCAGUGAUAGUCAGAAGAGCAAUAAUGUCAUUCCUUCUAUUUUGCCUUCAUGGAAAUGAGACCACAAAAACAAAAAACAAUAGACAAUAGAAACUCAGGUGUGCAAUUUCUUACUUACAUGCUAUAUUUUCACCUUCUUUCAGUGAAAGCAUGAACUUCAUGUUAUUCUAUCUCACAUGGACUAAUACAGAUUGAGUUCCAGAAUGGCCAGCUCUAUGUUAGGAAUUAGCAGUUGAACAAUGACCUUAUUGUUCACUUACAAGAAUUAGCAGGAAACAGAUAAUCCAAAGUUUGACUUUUUUCAGUUUUUUAGUUUGAGAAUCCCUUAAACAUUUUCCCAUAGAAAUAGGGUGACUUCUACAAUGAAUUCAAGACCACUGAAAAAUUAUUUGCUUUCUUUAGAGUGCAAUUCUAGGGACAGCUGGCAGACUUAAUGUUUCACUGCUGAGAAGGGAAAGGUCCUUUCCUCCUGCAGCUUUGGCCAUGCAGCCCACUGUGCCAGUUUCACAUUGCACCCUUUUAUGACCUGCUUUAACUUGUUAGUGUGGUGGAACCUGUCCCACCUCUGGAAUGGUUACUAGGUACUGUGUGGUCCUGGAAAAUGACCUAGGUUGUAACAGUGAAUUAAUAUAAUACUCAACCACCUUGGUGGAGUAAGAAGGUAUUACCUUCUUUCUCCAAAAGGUGGUCUUUACAGGCAGAAGAACGUGAAAUUAACGCUUUAAUGUAAUGAAAUUACUAGAAGAACUAUGGUUCUGUAAUAGUUCUGCACUCUUUUAUCUUAAUGCAAAAGCAUUAAUGAAUCCAGGCUUGCUUAAAGUUCAGCUAAGAACUGCCUUGCUUACUCUGCAGUUCAGAAUAGCCCUUGACCUCUCAUGGCAGAUUUCACAUGAUUGAGUCAGCCUUCUGAAUCCACACAGCUGGGCUGCGUGACGGAGAAUGGAAAACCUAUUUCCAAGUAUGCCUAAUCAUGUGUGGUUUCAUAACACAAGUAAUCCAAGUCAAUUUAGACUAAAGAUGCUGAAGAAUUUCAUAAUUAUCUAAAUGAAAAAUUCCAUACUUUCACAAAUUAAUUAUUAAAUGUUAAUUUCAGUUCUCUUGCACUGUCCUGCUUCAGUCGGUUCUGCAAUGACAGUGGGUUGAGGAAGCAAUCGUUAAAACGGUUAAGCCAGAGUUUCCGUCUUAGAGGGCUGAUCCUGCCAAGUGCUGAGGCACCUCCUGAAUGAAUUUCUCCCCUUACUGACAAGCACUCAGCUGUUUUCGAUAAACAGAUUACUCUCUCGCACCAGUUAGAAUUCUGAGAACCCCAACUGCUUUCAGAUCUGUUUUGAAUAGGAAUAUAAAUACUACAGAUGGUUCUUCCGAUGUCACAUGCCACCUGUACUCAUGCUGAGACAUGCUUCAGUGCUGUUAGUAUGAGUGUUAGAUAGUGGUAGGUGUUAAGUGAAAAUGAGGUAUGAGUUGGCAAACUUGUGUUAGCAGGGCAGAUCUGUUCUAAGCAGCAUGGGAAAAUGAUUUAGAGAAGGAGACAGAAAAGGGCAGAUCUAAUGGCCUGCCUCAUGGUCUAGCUUGUACUGUAUCUGGACUUACAAUAUUGGCAUCAGUACCUCACACUGUAAGCACACACUGGAGGGAUGCUCAGUGAAAACUAAAUGAGCAGAUAAGUCCUCCAAAGAAAAUAGCUUUAAAUGCCAAGGAUAGCUGGGGUAAGCAGCAUCUAAACGAUCGAUGAGAAACAGCACAACAGCAUCUCUGUAUUUAGAGAGAACAAAUAUUCGAGAUACAAGUAAGUGUGGGGUGUUGGCUUGGAACCUAGACAAGGAAUAUUUGGGACCAAAUGCUAUUGAGUCCAGAUCUAGCAGCCUCUUCAGAUAAAGUGGAAGGAGAUCUGUUCCCUGCAACACAUGUGGCAGGACUAAGCAGAACUCGGAAAGACUGCCAUUAGAAGACAAUCCAAUGAGAUCUCCUGUGAGUGGGUGUACUUCUUCCUCUUGUAUUUUUUAUUUGCAUAUUGAAUUACUCUUCAGUGACAGUUCUGCCUCUGGUCUAUCUGCACAGUUUAUUUAGUUGCAGUCUACAGUAUUCCCUUUGGUGCCCAAUGGAAAAUUUUACAAGGAGUCAGCUGGAUCCCAGUUUUAUAUUUCCCAGUCCUUAGCUAAUACUGCCUUAUCUUUUGCGUUAUGGAACUGUGCUCCAUACAACCACUCACUUCCCACCAGUCUCCCCUCCAUGUAUAUAGGGAAAAGAAUAAGAUUUUCAGUAUUGAUUUCUAAUAUACACACUGCUUCCCAGCUGCAUUCCUCUCUUCCCCCAGCUCAAUUUUGCACGUAAGCAUGACGAAGCAGAACUGUUCCUUAGCAGCUCCUGCUUGCUCUAGGAGUGAUCUCCUUUCCACCAAAGCCUUGAAAGUACUCAGGCCACACAGAUCAGUGAGUUAGCUUAGGACUAUUCCACUGGAGAAUGACAAGCAGGGUUGAAAAACACAAGGUUAACCUUCAUUUGAUAACACUUCGCUAGGCUUUUCACAGGUCUGAACCAUCUCCCAUGAGACAUGCAAUUCACUCACAAAGCAACUGCUUCAGUUCUCACAAUUUUUGAUAGCUGUGUUGAAGUCUUUAUUGUUUAGAUGAGGCUUUAAAAUGUAAUGCUUAGGGAAAUAAACAAAUGGAAAUCCAUCAGGUCCUGAAAGGUCUUGCUGAAACCUUUUUAUUUUUCAAAAUGGUAGUAUCUGGCAUAAGAGACGAGGGUGUAAAACUACAGCUGUUUAGUGUAUAAUGGUUUAAUACAGGGAAGGCAUGAAGUUUCUGUAAGAGGAGCAAGACAACAAUCAACCUUAACAGGCAUUAAUUAUGGAGUCCAUGUUUGAAAACUAAGCAACAGCAAAAAUUUAGCACUCUAUGUCCUGCUAAGCCAUUUAACAGGCCAAUAUACCUCUAGUUGGCAUUUGGUAACACUCUUGAUUUUGGGGUUAUGAUAUAGGAGCAGUAUUAAUACUAUCCACCAGAAGACAGUAUGCCAAAUCUAUCAUGGUAGAUGGACUGAAUAAUGGUUGUAGAAGACAGAAAGAGCAUGGCAAGACAGUCAAAAUGGAAGAGAAGUCAUUUCCACAAGUGAAGUCUUCUGUGUGUCAUUAUCUCACUUUUGUCAAAUCAGAGGCAUUCUGACUCUACCAACUGCCUCAACUCUCCUCUGUUUAUUUGAUUUUAGUGGUACCUUAAAUUUGUAUCUUCUUGUUCCCUAUCAUACAUGCUGUAUUUCCUACAAUAAAUGUAAUGCUUAGGACUGCUUAGAAAGAUGAUCAGAACUAAUUAUAUGGCCUAUCUCCAUGUAAUUAAAGACAAUGAAUCUAUGUUUUUCUUGUCAACUACCAUCUCCACCCUAUAGUCUCUCCUGGAUAAAUAGGUGCCCACACAUUUCAAGGAGUAUAAAAUGUAUGCUGAACUUUCUUAAAACAUACCACAUACUAGCACUGUUACUGACCUCUCCAUUUUAACUCCACACGGGACCUCCAUUAGAUGAGACACCUCAGUACAUGAGAUACCAAGCCUAUGUGUUCAGAGCAAAUGGGUACCAUCUACCCUGAACAGGAAGGUGAGGAAUUUAGAACAGGAAGGUAACUGUAACUAUGGACUUGCUCUGUGCUGUACUUCCCUGUGCCACCGGAAGCACGCAGUGCAUGUGUGUACAUACAUAUGUAUAUAAAAACACACACACAGACAUGCUGAUUUGUUAAUUAUCUUAUGUCACUAAAAAAUGUAAAAAGUCAAUACGGAUUGAAAAUGGAAGCCUAGAAACAGCUUCUUCUGAGCAUAUUUGACUAUGAACUAUGACUAGCUUCACUCUAUUUCCGUAAAAUGGUGUAGGAAACAAAGGUAAUACACCAACAAAGAGCACUUUUAAGGCCAGCCAUCUGGUUUGGCUAGAUAUUAAAGACAGUAAAAGGCAUGUAAAACCUUCAAACCCUCCCUCUCAGGCUUCGAGGUCUGGCCCCUACAAUCCAAAUUUGUUAAAAAAAGACCAGGAAAUACGGAAAACUGGCUAAACUAUUUUACCAACUGUCUCAAAGGCGAGGGGUCCAAGCACAGAGCCUUUCACAGUGAAAGACUGGGUCUCUAACAGGGAAGGCUAGCAAGGUUGAGCUACCUGCUUUUUUGUUUCUUUCACAGUUCAUUUCUUUUUCUUUUUUAUAUUUCUGUGAGAAUCUGUACCUGUCACAUUUGUUCUUUUUCUUGCCAGGCUUGGCUGCAUUCUGAUCCCUUUCUAUUUCAGCAGUCCCUGUUGUUUCAGGGAACUAUGAAAGAUGACCUUAAGUUCUAAGUGGCACCAUAUUUUGAAGCCUUCAGCCUUUCUAGAACUAUGUUUAUAAACUACCAUACCAACUUAUUC